AUCGAACGCUGGCGGCAGGCCUAACACAUGCAAGUCGAACGAGUGGCGGACGCGUGAGUAAUGUCUGGGAAACUGCCCGAUGGAGGGGGUUAACAACUGGAAACGGUAGCUAAUACCGCAUACUAUCGGAUGUGCCCAGAUGGGAUUAGCUAGUAGGUGGGGUAAUGCAUCACCUAGGCGACGAUCCCUAGCUGGUCUGAGAGGAUGACCAGCCACACUGGAACUGAGACCCGGUCCCGACUCCUACGGGCGGCAGCAGUGGGGAAUAUUGCACAAUGGGCGCAAGCCUGCUGCAGCCAUGCCGCGUGGAUGAAGAAUGCCUUCGGGUUGUAAAGUACUUUCAGCGAGGAGGCGUUACUCGCAGAAGAAGCACCGGCUAACUCCGUGCCAGCAGCCGCGGUAAUAC
This 406-nucleotide ribosomal RNA is filed under the name uncultured bacterium. RNAcentral describes it as "partial 16S ribosomal RNA". It matches the Rfam family "Bacterial small subunit ribosomal RNA", at positions 30 to 526 of the family's 1533-position model. The record is from RNAcentral.